UUAAGUUUACAAAGGGCGCACGGUGGAUGCCUUGGCACUAGGAGCCGAUGAAGGACGGAAACUAAUACCGAUAUGCUUCGGGGAGCUAUAAGUAAGCUUUGAUCCGGAGAUUUCCGAAUGGGGGAACCCAGUACACAUCAGUGUAUUGCCUGCAAGUGAAUACAUAGCUUGUUGGCGGCAGACGCGGGGAACUGAAACAUCUCAGUACCCGCAGGAAGAGAAAGAAAACUCGAUUCCCAUAGUAGCGGCGAGCGAAGUGGGAAGAGCCCAAACCGAGAAGCUUGCUUCUCGGGGUUGUAGGACUGGACAUUGGAGUUACCAAAGUUCGACGUAGUCGAAGUCAGCUGGAAAGCUGCGCCAUAGAAGGUGAAAGCCCUGUAAACGAAACGGCGGAUUUCCGUCCAGGAUCCUGUGUACGGCGGAACACGUGAAAUUGCCGUCGGACUCUG
This 449-nucleotide ribosomal RNA is filed under the name Lacticaseibacillus rhamnosus. RNAcentral's name for it is "bacterial LSU rRNA". It matches the Rfam family "Bacterial large subunit ribosomal RNA", at positions 1 to 446 of the family's 2925-position model. The record is from RNAcentral. Lineage: Bacteria; Bacillati; Bacillota; Bacilli; Lactobacillales; Lactobacillaceae.